This 66-nucleotide transfer RNA is filed under the name Drosophila mimica. RNAcentral describes it as "tRNA-Glu". Lineage: Eukaryota; Metazoa; Arthropoda; Insecta; Diptera; Drosophilidae. The record is from RNAcentral.
AUUAUAUAGUUUAAGAAAAAACUUUACAUUUUCAUUGUAAAAAUAAAAUAAUUUUUUUUAUAAAUU